This is a long non-coding RNA of Antechinus flavipes (yellow-footed antechinus), 388 nucleotides long. RefSeq lists it as uncharacterized. The record is from RefSeq and is a predicted model, not a curated record. The transcript is spliced from 3 exons. NCBI's taxonomy places the organism in Eukaryota, Metazoa, Chordata, Mammalia, Dasyuromorphia, Dasyuridae.
CUUUGCUCCUGGCACACGGUGCCACAGUGUCUGAGGCAGUCUUGACAUUAGGUACCGUAAUGACAUGAUUCUUCCAAAGUCAGUUGAGGAGAGCCUCAUACAACUGGAAGAUGAAAAAACGGAGGCAGAAAUUUUAUUUGAGUGAUUUAGCUACCCAAAGGGGCAGAGAAUAUGAAGGACUGGUAUAUAAAGGUUAGAGAUUCUCCCAUUCAGGGCUGGAGAAUGGCGGCUGGCUGUAUGCUGGAUGCUGGACUCCUCUAACCCUAAGACCAACAUGGAUUCUUUGGUCCCAGUAUAUCUUUAUCUCUGUCUGACUGGAUAAUUUGAGAUGAGAGUCCUGUCCAGUCAAUCUUACUCUCCCAUUAAUAAAAUAUUAAAAACUCUCUAA